UUACUGGGCGUAAAGCGCAUGCAGGUGGUUUGUUAAGUCAGAUGUGAAAGCCCGGGGCUCAACCUCGGAACUGCAUUUGAAACUGGCAAACUAGAGUACUGUAGAGGGGGGUAGAAUUUCAGGUGUAGCGGUGAAAUGCGUAGAGAUCUGAAGGAAUACCAGUGGCGAAGGCGGCCCCCUGGACAGAUACUGACACUCAGAUGCGAAAGCGUGGGGAGCAAACAGGAUUAGAUACCCUGGUAGUCCACGCCGUAAACGAUGUCUACUUGGAGGUUGUGGCCUUGAGCCGUGGCUUUCGGAGCUAACGCGUUAAGUAGACCGCCUGGGGAGUACGGUCGCAAGAUUAAAACUCAAAUGAAUUGACGGGGGCCCGCACAAGCGGUGGAGCAUGUGGUUUAAUUCGAUGCAACGCGAAGAACCUUACCUACUCUUGACAUCCAGAGAACUUAGCAGAGAUGCUUUGGUGCCUUCGGGAGCUCUGAGACAGGUGCUGCAUGGCUGUCGUCAGCUCGUGUUGUGAAAUGUUGGGUUAAGUCCCGCAACGAGCGCAACCCUUAUCCUUGUUUGCCAGCGAGUAAUGUCGGGAACUCCAGGGAGACUGCCGGUGAUAAACCGGAGGAAGGUGGGGACGACGUCAAGUCAUCAUGGCCCUUACGAGUAGGGCUACACACGUGCUACAAUGGCGCAUACAGAGGGUAGCCAACUCGCGAGAGUGAGCGAAUCCCAAAAAGUGCGUCGUAGUCCGGAUUGGAGUCUGCAACUCGACUCCAUGAAGUCGGAAUCGCUAGUAAUCGUAGAUCAGAAUGCUACGGUGAAUACGUUCCCGGGCCUUGUACACACCGCCCGUCACACCAUGGGAGUGGGCUGCAAAAGAAGUGGGUAGUUUAACCUUCGGGGGGACGCUCACCACUUUGUGGUUCAUGACUGGGGUGAAGUCGUA
This 940-nucleotide ribosomal RNA is filed under the name uncultured bacterium. RNAcentral describes it as "bacterial SSU rRNA". It matches the Rfam family "Bacterial small subunit ribosomal RNA", at positions 551 to 1490 of the family's 1533-position model. The record is from RNAcentral.